This is a long non-coding RNA of Canis lupus familiaris (dog), 954 nucleotides long. RefSeq lists it as uncharacterized. The transcript is spliced from 2 exons. Lineage: Eukaryota; Metazoa; Chordata; Mammalia; Carnivora; Canidae. The record is from RefSeq and is a predicted model, not a curated record.
GCCGCCAGCACGUCCCUGUGACGAGCCCCUCGCCCCGCGUCCCGGGGCCGCCGCAGGGCCGAAGGGUGGCGCCGGCUGGAGCAGAGCCCUUGAGCUCGCGAAGCUCAGGCCUUUGGGGCUGUUUCCUGCAGUAGAUUCCGUGUCUCCUGGAAAGCACAGGGUCGGGUCGGAACCGAAGCGGAGAACGGUUCGCGCCAGGCCCCAAAGGAAUCCCGGUGCGUAAAGUUCCUGCAACCGCUUCAGACGCCUUGACGCUCCUUGAACCCAUUUGUCAAACUUGCCAAAACUCAGAGAAAUUCGUUUGUGCCUCAACGAUGCGAAUGUAAUGGAUGUACCUCCUGCUUUCAAGAAAUGGCUUUCUUCCUUCUUCCUCUAGUGCCUGCUCGGUGCAGAAUGCAGAUGCCCUCACCUCUGCGCAGUCAUGGAGACCAUGCCGGUCCUGCAGAGAGAAUGAAGCUACCAAAGAGAACACAGAUACAGGACACUCAAGUUAAACAAAACCACAGCGGCAUGGAGUCCUUCUCAUUAGAAAGUCAAACAGACAUCCAGAAAGCUGCAAAGCAAAUUGGAGAGAUGCCAGGACUUCAGUAGAAAUCACAGAUGAGGAUUUCAUACUUCAUGACUUUUCUUUAAGCAGGUACAAAAGCAGAAAGCUGAAGAACUGUCUGCGAUGAGCACUAAGAGUCCUGAAAUAGAGUGGGACUCAUAGAAGGACAAGAACAACAUAGACCACCCAGAGGAGGAUCCAGAAGGAAUACAUUUUAUUCUCAGCCACACUGCCUAGGCUUAUCAUCAGUUCUUUAGUGAGGAAGAACAAGAAACCAAUAGCAGACACACCCUAAAAUCUUUACUAUAAAGAUCUCAUGAUAGUAUGUAUUCAGUCAUUCUUUAAAAAAAAAAAAAGAGAAAAAAAUCUUUGUAAGUGCCAGACAUUGGAGACAUAAUGGUUAACAA